UACGGGGGGGGCAAGCGUUGUUCGGAAUUACUGGGCGUAAAGGGUUUGUAGGUGGCCCGCUAAGUCACACGUGAAAUCCCUCAGCUUAACUGGGGAACUGCGUGUGAGACUGGCAGGCUCGAGGGCAGGAGAGGAACGCGGAAUUCCAGGUGUAGCGGUGAAAUGCGUAGAUAUUGGGAAGAACACCGGUGGCGAAGGCGGCGACCUGGUCCUUGACUGACGCUGAGGCGCGAGAGCGUGGGGAGCAAACAGG
This 253-nucleotide ribosomal RNA is filed under the name uncultured bacterium. Its description in RNAcentral is "partial 16S ribosomal RNA". It matches the Rfam family "Bacterial small subunit ribosomal RNA", at positions 524 to 776 of the family's 1533-position model. The record is from RNAcentral.